RNAcentral lists this long non-coding RNA (340 nucleotides) under Mytilus galloprovincialis (Mediterranean mussel). The record is from RNAcentral. Lineage: Eukaryota; Metazoa; Mollusca; Bivalvia; Mytilida; Mytilidae.
CUUCCGCCUAAUUUUGCUCUUGCGAUAAACAUUUGUUUCGCAAUAUGUCGCUUAGAUAUUUGGUAUAUGAUAUCGAACAGUUUAUGCGCUUUUGAAAUUUACCCUGCGUAAACGAAUACUUUUCUUUGUAGGAGUUAUCUCCCCCAAACACUGUUUUCCUUGUUAGCGCAUCUCCUUCGCAACCGUAAAAGAUUAAGACAAAUUUAUUUUACAAAAUUGCUCGUUAUAUCCUUCGCAUGAUUUGUCCUAUUUGACCGAAGCGAUAUGACCGCUCCAUAUGAGAGUUAUUUCCCCUUAUGCAUCUGAUAUAAGUGAUAUGAAUUUCUAUCUUAUAAAUCAU